CCCUACGGGGCGCAGCAGUGAGGAAUAUUGGUCAAUGGGCGAGAGCCUGAACCAGCCAAGUCGCGUGAGGGAGUACUGCCCUAUGGGUUGUAAACCUCUUUUGUCGGGGAGCAAAAGCCGGACGUGUCCGGCUGUGAGAGUACCCGAAGAAAAAGCAUCGGCUAACUCCGUGCCAGCAGCCGCGGUAAUACGGAGGAUGCAAGCGUUAUCCGGAUUUAUUGGGUUUAAAGGGUGCGCAGGCGGAUUUUUAAGUCAGCGGUAAAAAUUCGGGGCUCAACCCCGUCCGGCCGUUGAAACUGGGGGCC
This 305-nucleotide ribosomal RNA is filed under the name uncultured bacterium. RNAcentral's name for it is "bacterial SSU rRNA". It matches the Rfam family "Bacterial small subunit ribosomal RNA", at positions 337 to 641 of the family's 1533-position model. The record is from RNAcentral.